This 498-nucleotide ribosomal RNA is filed under the name uncultured bacterium. Its description in RNAcentral is "partial 16S ribosomal RNA". It matches the Rfam family "Bacterial small subunit ribosomal RNA", at positions 29 to 507 of the family's 1533-position model. The record is from RNAcentral.
ACGAACGCUGGCGGCGUGCCUAAUACAUGCAAGUCGAGCGAAGUUUUUCUGGUGCUUGUACUAGAAAAACUUAGCGGCGAACGGGUGAGUAACACGUAAAGAACCUGCCUCAUAGACUGGGACAACUAUUGGAAACGAUAGCUAAUACCGGAUAACAGCAUUAACUGCAUGGUUGAUGUUUAAAAGUUGGUUUUGCUAACACUAUGAGAUGGCUUUGCGGUGCAUUAGCUAGUUGGUGGGGUAAAGGCCUACCAAGGCGACGAUGCAUAGCCGACCUGAGAGGGUGAUCGGCCACACUGGGACUGAGACACGGCCCAGACUCCUACGGGAGGCAGCAGUAGGGAAUCUUCCGCAAUGGGCGAAAGCCUGACGGAGCAACGCCGCGUGAGUGAAGAAGGAUUUCGGUUCGUAAAGCUCUGUUGUUAGGGAAGAAUGAUUGUGUAGUAACUAUACACAGUAGAGACGGUACCUAACCAGAAAGCCACGGCUAACUACGUG